GGGCGAGUGGCGAAAUGGCAGACGCGCUGGCUUCAGGUGCCAGUGUUCGCAAGAACGUGGGGGUUCAAGUCCCCCCCCGCCCAC
Molecule: transfer RNA, 84 nt
Filed under: Actinomycetes bacterium
Lineage: Bacteria; Bacillati; Actinomycetota; Actinomycetes
Description: tRNA-Leu
Rfam family: tRNA
About the family: Transfer RNA (tRNA) molecules are approximately 80 nucleotides in length.
Source: RNAcentral